This 39357-nucleotide long non-coding RNA is filed under the name Brachypodium distachyon (stiff brome). RNAcentral's name for it is "long non-coding RNA (BDIS_LNC001804)". The stretch from base 28045 to 28182 matches the Rfam family "MIR1120/MIR1122 microRNA precursor family". The record is from RNAcentral. Lineage: Eukaryota; Viridiplantae; Streptophyta; Magnoliopsida; Poales; Poaceae.
UCUUCUCCCCCUGACCGUCAUGGUUCUACAUCCAUGAAUUCCAAGGCAAAAAACCCUACAGAUGCAUUAGACCGGACUACCCCAAAAGCAAGCAAAACUGGUAUAGGUAUCUGCUAAUCUCCAUGAAAACCUUCCCCAUCCCGAAUUUGUUGAUCUAGGGUAAAAAAAAACUAGGGGUCAAAACACACACUAGUUGCUUUUUGGUUUUGCCAGGACACAAAAUUAGGACAAAUUUAAGACCAUAUCACUAACCCCAGAACUGUAAAUCUGGGCCAGGAGGGAGGUCAUGCUUCAGGGAGGAAAAGGCCUGUAACAGCAAAAGAAAAUUUCAGAAAAGCAAAAGCAAAUGCACACUAAGCUAUUUAGUUGUUGAGUUUGUAGAUGGACGCAAGGUUACCUGAGACAACACAACUGUGACAGCACAACACUAAGCUAGACACGGUACCAAAACACACUAAACAUGCUGUAGCAAAAUGCAAAACAUCCAUGGUUGUAGUUGCAAAAGUUGCUUUGUUGUUUCCCCCAAACACUAGGCAUGAUGUUGCUGCUUGCUGCAUUGCAGAUAUUACUUUCCCCUCCAUCUGAUCUCCAUCAUCUGAUCCUCUGUGCAUGUUCACAAACCUACCAAACUGCAUCUGUAAAUGAACCCAUCACCUGCAUUUUUACACAUCUGUACACAUAAAGGCCCUCCUUGCUGAGAAACACCUGUAGAGAUCAAAGCACAUUAGUGGGGGUUAUGAGUUGUGACUUGCAAGAAAACAGAAGUAAGGACAUAAGUAAUGGACAAUUUAAUGCGAGAAAGGGGACAAGUUGCUGGUUCUUGUGUUGCUGCAAAAAUAAAUGUACAAAUAGUUGCUGGGUUCAGUUGUACGAGUUUAUUGGUUGUUUUCGUAUUUCUAUUUUGUUGCAGAUGGACGAAUAUGACUUAGAAGUGACCUAUCGGUCUCAAUGUUGACGUUGGGACUGAAGAAGGAACUUGACUUAAAAGUGACCUAUCGAUCUCAUUGUUGACGCUGGGACUGAAGAAGGGUUUGCAACAUCGUUAUUCCCAUUCUACUGCACCCAAAAACUGCCUAACACGGAUGCCUAACAGCAUGAGGGCGAGGCGCGGUUGAGGGAUGUGAUCAACCUAAAUGAAUUGCCUAUCAAUCUCAAUGUUGAAGCCGCGGUAGAGGGGUUGGGGACAUCUUUAUUCCCAUUGCAUUGUACAGAUUAGGGCAAACGACAGUGCAAACUUCCAUGAGCCUAAUGUUGCUGAGUCCCAAAAUAAUGAUGGGCAUAAUGUGCACUUGGGAUCUGACACGCUGAACCAGAAACAACCACAUUGAACCAAGAAUCAGCUUUGCAUGGUGAUAGGCAUGGUGUUGAGCAAGAGCCGGAAGAUAAGGCACUGUCGCAGCCGCAGGAGCCAUUCUUGGGGAUGAGAUUCGACACUUUGACGUGUGCAAGAAACCACUACAAUGCAUAAGGCGUGGCUGAUUUCAAUUAGUGUGUGGACUUCAGUAUGACUCCUGAAUAAUUUGAGGCAACUUGGACGCACGAUGGCUAAAUGUAGAUAGGGUGUUGCUGGAAACAAACAUGCUGCACACACACAUAACUGACGUAUAUGUGUGAGCAAUUAUGUUGACAAGAAAAGUGACAACCUAAAAAUGAUUGGGUGGUGGUGGUGGUGGUGUGGGGGGGGGGGGGGGUUCUGAAAAACCUUUAGAAAGCAGGUAUAUGAUCAUAAGAAAACCAGAUGCAACUUAUAAAGGCAUUGUGUGAGCUAAAUAAAAAGCAACUAAGUCAGUUAGGUUGGGGAAAACAAGAUAUAUGUGUGUGUGCAAUUAUAUUGGCCAGAAAAAGUGACAACCAGAAAAGUGAACUUGUAGUUAAGCAACUAAUUAGGGGAGGAAGCAAGUAAAUGAUCAUAAGCAAAACCAGAUGCAACUUAUAAAGGCAGUGUGUGAGCGAGUAAAGUAAAUAAAAAGCAACUACGUCAGUUAGGUUGGCGAGAAACAAGGUAUAUAUGCGUGUUUAAUUAUAUUGGCCAGAAAAGAGACAACCUGAAAAUCUGAACUUAUAGCUAAGCAACUAAUUAGGGAGGGGGCAACUAGAUAAUCGUAAGUAGAAAGCGACUUAUAAGACAGGUGUGAGUGACUAGGUAAAUAAAAAGCAACUACAUUAGCUAAGUUGGGGAGAACAACAAGGGGUGUAUAUGGGUGACCAUUUAUAUUGGCAAGAAAAACGACACCUUAAAAAAAUUCUAAAAUACAUAGCCAAGCAACUUAUUAGGUAGGGUAAAAAGAAUUCUGAAAAAACACCUAAAGUUGCACACACAUAGAUGGGAUUCUGCGAGAGGCAGCUAAAUGAUUGUAAAAGAACAACUAAUAAGGCGAUCUGUGAUCGACUAAGUAAAUAAAAAACAAAUUAGCUAAGUUGGGAGGAGAGCAAAAAGGGGUGUACGUGUGUGAGCAAUUAUGUUGACAAGAAAAGAGACAACCUAAAAAAUCUGAACAUAUAGCUAAGCAACUAAUUAGGGAGGGGAAAGGUUUCUGAAAGACACCUAAAGUUGCACACACGUAGAUGAAUUAUGCAAGGACAAGUAAAUUUUUAAAAAAGCAACUAAUAAGAAGUGCAAGAGACUAAAUAAAAAUAAAGGCAAUUUGGGCUACACCUAAAGUUUGCCUAAGCUCUCAACAAAAUUUGCAAUCUUGUCUGAAAUUCUUGUGCACAAUUCUCCAAUCAUAAUUGCUAAUUUCCUCUUGUUCCGUGGAUUUUAAAAACAGCAGAGAAGGGGUAAAUUAAAUAGGACAAUCUAUGAACAAGAAAAUGAAAAUUUGCCAUACAAUAAAUGCAAAAGGCAAAAAAUGGAGGCUGAUUGGUGCAGGGCACAUACCGUUUUGUUGUAGGAAACCGACAACUUUGAAGAAACAAAAUUUUUGGCCUGUUGUAAACCCAUGAACAAGUUACCUUCAGCUGGCAACUCAACAUUUAGGACAACAUUUGUUGCAGUUCUUGGUGCAACUCUAAGUUGUUGGCACAUUCAAAUAGCACCAAAAGACACAGUUAGCUUCCAGGGGUUGAAAAAAAGCACAAGCGGAUAGAUUAGCCUCUGGAUUGCAGAAUGUGCUGAGAAUGCAACUUUAGAAUAACUUACAUGCAAAUUCCCAUAAACUCCGGGUCCUUCCGUAUCUUGUUGGAUCACUUUAUUUAUGGCUUGUGUCAUCCAUGUCUGGAUACGCACAGGGCAGUUGCUCAAGGGCUCGUCGGUGACCAGUGAGUCGAGAUACUAGUUCUGCAUAUGAGUUUUAAGUUGGGUUUAGGUUCAGUUAUGCCAUGAAAAUGAAAAGAAAAGAAAACUACAAGGACACUAGAGAAGCUUAUGGAUCAAAAGCUCACCAAUAGGUUAUAUACACAACAACAGACCGAGUUCUUUUCGUUGCCCAACUUCUUGCAGACUUCUUGCAGUUGAUCAACAACAAAUUGACAGAAAUUUAAGUUGCCAGUAGCAUCCAAAUUUCUGAAGGACGGGUAGCACCGUGGACUGACAUUCAGGCCUGUGGUUAGGCAAAAGAAAGCAGGUCAUCGCUGCGAUCAACCAAGCCCUGAGAAAUUUGUCGCCAGCUUUCCCUCCCAUGUUGCCAAUCAUUUUGCACCAGGCCGUAGUCUUAGAAGGCAGAAAUAGUAACCCGCCAAAAUGCCUUUUGUUGAUCAAUUUCUUCUGUUCAGGUGAUAGAUCUUCAUUAAGUUUGUGGAGCCUAGCAGGAGACACCCUGUUCCGCCCAACCUAGGUAAUUGCCAAAAAGAAUAACAAAAACGUUAUAUCCAAAAAAAAGUAACAAUAAUUGUCCCAAAAAAAUGUGUUAGCAGCUUCAAAAUCUAAAAAUGUUUGGACAAUGCUUUGUGCCAAAAAAAGAGCUUGAAAGCAAAUGUCGUGUUACCUCUUUCUCUGUCCUUCUAGGGCGUAUGCGUUUAGCAACCUGCAAAUCUCCAAUCUCCUUUGCAACCUCUUUAGAAGCCUCAGCGAUUGUUGUCUCAGUAGAAGCAUCCGCGACAUUAAUCCCACCAGCAGCCUGCAUGUAAGAAAGAAAGCACGUUGAGAAUUGGGGUGGGGGGGGGGGGGAGCAUAUUUGCAUGUGAACUAGUUGAAUUGAUUAAGCAUCGGAAGCUGUUGUGCCUGAGGUAUGUUGUCAACAACUCUUCUUGUGCCAUCGUUUACAUUGUGUCUCCUGCGGCGAUGAAUUAAACCCCCAGUUUUAGAAUAUUCAGGUCCUUCCUCAAUUGUGUUCAUUUUAGCUCCUGCUAAUAAAAAGGAACUCACAUAAUGAGUGUCCAAAACACAAGCAAAAAACAAAUGUUGUGCUAAAUUAAAUGGAAAAGGCAGUUCAUGCCUCAACAUCCUAUAUAACUUGCAUUCUAUACAGAUUUUACUAAAACAUAAUGAAAAUUAACUACUGUGUCAAAAACGUUUGCCUAAGAGUAAAUACAUCUUAACACAAAUCUGGAAGAAGCAACUUAUGCAAAAAAUUGAGUUCUAUAUUCUAAUCCCUAAGAACAAAAAUCCUAGAUGUGCAUCAAAGUUUGCCUACCCAUUAAUGCAUCCCUGGCAAAAAAAAGCAAUUGCUAAAACUCCAGCCCGAACCGUUUUGAACAAGUUAAAAAGCAACUAAAAUUUAUCCUAUGCUGUUACAUCACAAGUAGGAAAAUCAACUAAACUUAUGUUGUCGAACUACAAUUUGCCUUAUUCAAUUGACUUCUUCUCCUAUUAAAAGCAAAAAUGAACUACCAGAUUUGCCUAAAAAAUUGAUGAAAGUAAGAACAGUAAAAGCAACUCCUGACCUGCAGAAAUUAAGAACAGUAAACCCAGCGCAACUAUGAUAGGUAGAUUUCUUCCAUUAGAUUUCAUCCAUUCAAAAUUUGCCUAAACAGCUAGUCCUGAUGCAAAGUUCUAAAACAAAUUGCAUGCAUUCCCUUGAGGCAAAAAACCCUAGAAUGCCAAACCUUUGGCACAACGUGGAGCAGAAAACACAUAUGUGAGACAUGAAUAUGUUAGGACUACAACAAAACAAAGGCAACAAACCCUAGAACACGGAAUCAACCUAAAAAUUGCUGCUAGAAACAUCAAAUCAAAAGCCAAAACGCUCAGGGUGAGGCUGUGCGGGGUUAGCACUAGAAGGAGCGCUAGAAAUCUAUGCAACAUUAGGCAACAUUUGGGGUUGAUGCACAACUGCGUGUUCGGGGGUUUGGGGGUACAGGUGGGGGGAUCAUCGAGGGCGAGUAGAGAUGGACGGAGGGGAGAUCUAACCGCUCAAAAGUCGCAGCGGAAGAUGAUGAAUGCGCCCGCCGUGGUGGACGCAUCCCCGCCGUGCUCAAUGCGGCCACGGUGGUGGAUGUACCCGCCGGGGACGUUGCGGCUAGCAACUCCGGAUUUCAGCAAUGGGGUCGGCUUCCUGUAGCCCUCAGCGACUCCACAGAAGACAUGCACGAGCCCCCGAGCACCAAAUCGCCCCCGCCGGUAAAAUCUCGCCCCGCGCAAAAUCAACCAGAGACCGAAAAAAAGCCCUCAACGCACAGCCCCCUCACGAAACUCCACACCGAUGCCGGCUCCGCCCCUCGCGAAACUGCCGACGGCCGCGCUGCUGUUUCGCUGCGCCUCGCCGACACCAAGCUCGCCAGAAUCGCGAGGGGAAAGAGGGGGCGCGGUCGACUUUCGCGAGGGGAGAAAUGGGGACGGGGAAAUAGGAAGAGACAAGCGGUGUGUUUCCCCAGCUUUGAAAAGACAUGGCUUGAAUGUCGCUGCCAUGUGGGGGCCACCCACCCGACAGCACGAGGCCCUGUCUUAACUGGAUCGCAUGGCACGGCCGGUCCAGGUAGAAUUGGAAAGCGCAGAGACUGGGCGCCCGCUUCAAUCGAAAACUGCAUUAGCACUUUCAAGCAAUUGGGAAAUCCAAAAUAGUUUGUUGCAGGGACGCCCAUAACCACCUUUGGGGAGCUCAUCCCGAGUUCUGUCACCGAAACAGGUUAGGCCGUCAGGGAAAUCACCAUCAGUGCUUGCGAUAUUCUCAUCAGAUCGCUGGGCAUUUCGCUUGAAUAUCUCGUAGCAUCUCGCUGCCUCCUCCUUGUCCUUGUAAGUACGAUUGUACUUGUUCGUCCACUAGAUCAUGAUGGCGCGCGUUGCUGCGCCCAUCAAUUUUUGACAAUACAAUGACAGGAAAGACACUAAUAUUUAGAGAUGUCACGACUGUUCAUCUUUCAGAAAGCUUUGUCAAUUUACGGAGACGCGAGAUAUGAAAGUUUUUUCUAUAUUAGAUAUGGUAGUUAUAUCUACACAAACUAACACAUAUCCUAGACAAUUACCGAAAAGAGGUUUUGAGUAUGUUUUUGCUAGUUUAUUAGUACCUCAACUUUUGGACUUCAGGUGUGUGUGUGAUUUUAGUGGAGGCGGGUUGCUGAGUAUGUAAGUAGUUCGAGUGAUCGAUUGGAUUCCAUAGCAGUACUCGACUACAUCUCGACCCAGGUUGGUCCAGGCGAGGCCUAAUGUACCAAGAGGCUUCAUUUUUUCUCAUCUACUCGAAGACCCACGAAAGGACGACAUGAUUUUGCCUGACAAUAUGAUCGAACAGUCACAUACGCUGGGGGCAUGAGAGGGCUGGAAGACUGCGCGCAUUGCCGCUCCCAUUUGUUUUUUUUUCUCGAACACGCCGAGCAGCGUGUCUUUUCCAUUAAGAAGAAGGCGCAAGAAGCGCAAGUACAGGCAACAACAAAAACCCCAAGAGGGGCCAAAAGGAAAACAAAGAAAACAGAAAAAGAAGAAACGAAGAAGAAGAAGAAAAACGCCUAAGGCAACUAUACAAGGAGAGGGUGAAAGAUCGGUAUGGUCGACUAGAGGGGGGGGGGGGGGAAUAGAAUACUAACAAAUUUUAAUUUUAAUUUUGACUUUUAUGGGAUACAAGCAUCAAUACAUGGGUUCACUAAAACGUCUAAAUGAUGAACACCCAUAGUAUGAUGCAAUAGCCGAAGCACGAGCACAAGCAAUAGAUAAUCAAUUGAAAUUUGCUUGAUAGACGAAGCACAAGAUAAACAAUUAAGCUUUGCGAGUAAGUAAAGGGGCAAGAAUGAUACCACACGGGGAGACGAAGAUUUCACCGGAGUUCCACCUAUUGGGGUCGGUGUGUACGUCUCCGUUUGGAGGAGUGCUCUACCACAAAGGUAGAUGCGCCACAAAGGCUCACUCAAUUCUCCAACUCACCACACCACAAAGGUGGGAUGAGCUCUCACAACACCACAAAGAUGAGGUAAGUUCCACUAGUGGCUUCCUUGAGGGCGAACGUCGAACCCUUACAAACAAGAAGAAGGGCACAACUCCACAAGUUAAUUGGAGGCUCCUUUCCGAAUCCUCAAGCACCUCCUCACAAGAAUGGAGGCCUUGAAGAGACACCUUCCGGUUAGGGAUCCCAAAAUCCCAAGGGUAACAAAAUCCACAAAUAAAACAAGGGAAAUAAACUUUUUAACUUGGUGAAACCCUAGAUCUUGAUCUUCUCCUCCAAUCCUCAAAACAUGAAUCAAAGGGGGGGGGGGGGGGCUAGAGAGGGAGAUCAAGGGAAAUUAAGCUCUUGUGUUCUUGGGGUGAGAGAGGGGCUGUUCUUGGCUGUGCUUAGGUCCAUAAACCCGUUGGGGACGAAGCCCCUUUAAGUGGCCUCGAAAUCUGACCGUUAUGUGUAUUUCGCGCAGUGACGGGUGGAAGUUCCGGUUGCACCCCUGCAAGCUCCGGUUAGCUGGAAGUUCUGGCGAUCAGGAGGAAGUUCCGCAUAUUCCAGUCAGGGUAACAGAGAGCACCCGGAGGUUCACCCGGAGGUUGGGCCGGAAGUUCUGGUGCCUGGAGAGUUGGGUGCACUGGAAAUGAUUUUCUGAAAUGUCUGUACUCUCUCUCACUUUGGGUAGACUUUAUGUGGGUGCAAAUAUGGUAGAUUUGUGUACGUGAAGUUGAUUCACCCAUUACCUUCCCAUGUGGACUCCCUCUUUAUAGUACGGAGUUCCUACGACUCAAUAUAAUUAAAAGCCGCUAAACACCGCUAUACUUCUUUCCUUUUUGAGGGCAACGAACCGUCUUGUGCCAUUUGAUCUCAAAUUUGAAACACUCGAACCCACGGUUAGUCCAUGUGUAAUCUUGUCAUUAACACCAAAACACUUAGGGAGGAAAUGCCCUUUCAGAGGGAGAGACCCAACAUCGGGGGGACGAGCAUGAAGAGGGAGACAGCCAAGCUGGCUAAGGCCACGCGCACCGGCGGGACGCCACAAGUCCGCCUCCGCUAAGAUGUCUUCGACAAGCCAAGCAACCGUCGGGUUGGCCCCCUUAAAGAUGCAGGCAUUCCGAAGCUUCCAAAUCCACCAGAGGGAGAGGUUGAUGAGCGACCGAACAGCCUACACCUUGCCUUGGAGCCGUCUAGCCCCGGCCGAGAGCCACUCAACAAGGUCCUCCGAGGGGAGUGGGAGACAACAAAGAGCCCCAGGCCUGGACAACACCUCGUGAAGAACCGACUUCGUGAAGGCAUAGUCCAUGAGAAGAUGAGUCAUGGUUUCUGGCGCCUGAUCACACAACGGGCAGCGCGCGUUGAAGGGGAGAUGUCGGCGUUCCAGCCGGUCCGCCGUCCAGCAGCGGUUGGCACAUGCAAGCCAAAGCCAAAUCUGGCAUUUCAACGGUGUCCAACAGCGCCAAAUGUGCGACCAAGGUGGGAAAGUCGGGCGUUCCUCAAAGAAAUGAAGGUAUGCCGAUUUGGCGGAGUAGACACCAGAGGACGACCAUCUCCAGGGGAGAACAUCCUCCUGGCCCGGAAUAAGAACCACGGCCUCCAAGGUGCCCACGAGCUGAAGAAAUUCGACCAUGCCUUGGGCAUUCAGGGGACACGAGAUGUCCCUAAUCCAAGCACUCCCAGCAAGAGCAUCCGCAACAGAACAAGUACGGGUGAUCCUCCGGCCAACGGCCGCGAAGACAACCGGAGCAAGAAACUCAACUGAUUUCCCAUCCAUCCAGUUAUCCGACCAGAACAGUGUGGAGCGACCAUUUCUGACAACCGAAUAGCAAGCCUCACGAAAUAGAGCAAGAAUCCGUGAACUGAAACGGAUGCGAAAGGAGGCCCAAGGUUUCUCGACCUCAGAGCGCUGUAACCAAGGCCAACAAAGCUGAAGGGCGGUACUCACCAGAUUGGCGUCCCUCACCCCCAGACCCCGCAAACGGAUCGGGAGGCAAACCUUGGCCCAAGCCACGGCACAGUGACCCCGCUGGGCAUCCGUCCAACCUUUCCAAAAAAAGCUCCGCUGCUUCUUAUUAAUGGCAUCGCCAAACCAACUGGGCGUGUCAAUGGCCAAGAGAGUGUGCACCGGAAUAGCCGAAAGGACCGACUUGACAAGGACAAGCCGACCCCCUCUCGACAGCAUCCCAGCAUGCCAACCCGCCAACUUACGAUCAAUCUUGUCCAAGAUGUGCUGAAAGUCUUGGCGACAGAGCUUGGAGAUGGAGAGAGGAGCUCCCAAAUAGAGGAUGGGGAACUCAUGCACAGGGCAAGCAAGAUAAUGAAGAACGACCUGAGUCUCCUCGGUGGAGCAGCAAAUCGGGGUGGCCGAGCUUUUUAGGAUGUUCGUACGGAGUCCCGAAGCUUUUCCAAAAAGCUCAAGAAGGUCCAACAAGAUGGUGCAGUCCUCAACCUUGGGCUUGAUGAAAACGACCAUGUCAUCGGCAUAGAAAGAAGCCUGACAACCCGGGGGGACCCCCCGAAAUUGGGAAAGAAGCCGCUCGCGCGACGCCGCAAGGAAGACGCUGUUGAAGGCAUCCAUCACCACAACAAAAAGCAUCGAAAACAGAGGGUCGCCUUGACGCAGGCCUCGACGAUGCACAACCUCACGGCUUAGACGACCAUUAAUGAUAAUCUGAGUGCUUGAGGUGGAAAGCAACAAAUAGAUCAAGUCGCACCACAUACGACCAAAGCCAAGAUGCCGAAGGAGAUCCAGCAAAAAGGCCCAAGAAACGGAGUCAAAAGCCCGUGCAAUGUCCAACUUAAAAAGCACCGCAGGCUGUCGAGAGAUGUGCAACGACCUCGCCAAUUGCUUCACCAACAUGAAGUUGUCAUGAAUGGCACGACCACGAAUGAAGGCGCACUGGUUGGGAGAGACCAAGGACGGCAGAAGAGGUGCUAGGCGAAGAGACAACACCUUGGGUACCAAUUUGGCAAUGCCAUGGACAAAGCUAAUGGGCCUGAAGUCCCGAACCUCCGUAUGACAGUUCUUCUUGGGGAUGAGAGAGAGGAGCGCACGGUUAAGGUUGUGGAAGCCUGCGCGCCCACCCCGAUGGAGCCAUCGGAAGAGCUCGACCACAUCGUCCUUGAUAAUGGGCCAACAGGAGGAGAAGAAUAGGCCGGUGAAGCCGUCGGGGCCGGGGGCGCGGUUACGAGGCAUGGCCCUGAUGGCAGCCCAAAUCUCCUCCUCCGAGAAAGGUUCCUCCAAAACACUCAAAUCCAGACGUGGAACUUGAAGGAACUCAAAAUCUAGAGUGCACGACCUCUCCUCGGGGGAGUCCAAGACUUCCUCAAAAAAAGGAAGUGAUCGCCUCCUCAAGGCGAUCCUGAUCGACCAAAUCCUGACCCGCAUGAUGGAGUUGCGCAAUAAAAUUGUGCCUCCGACGAGCACCCUCGUGGAAAUGGAAAUAGCUGGUGUUAGCAUCACCAUCUCCCAAUUGUCAUAUAGAAAGAACAUAGAAACAUUCAAACAUUUUUGUUUAUUAAAAUUUCAAAAGUUGGAAUAUACACUGCCUUAAUCCAGGUGACCUGGUAUAUCCACUCAGGUAUAUUAUCUCCUUUUUUACAUUUCUGUCACAUUCAUGAGAAGACAUAAAAUUGGAUAUAUUGAUUCUUGUAAACUUUACUUCAAAUCGACAAUGGAACUUUUUGCUAAAUGCAUUUAAAUAUAAUGAAAUUCUACUUCACAUGUGCUGUGAAGAGUGUAUCCUUUCAAGCAAGUAGGAACUUUUUGCGCAAUGAUGCAUCAAGAUGGCAACAAUCAAUAUAUAAGUGAGAUUUCCGCGUCAAAAAAGAUAUAAGUGAGAUUCUCUAUCAUGUCUAUCCAUUUCACAAGCAAAAAAAUCUAAUCAAUAUCAAUCAAACCCCCCUCAUUUGACACCAAUAGAACUACAAGAUUGAGAGGACACUAACCUGCACAAACAGAACCCAGCAAACAGAGUUUAAAAUGAAAAGAAAAAUUGAACAUAUACAAUGCAUAUAUUCUUAUAAACCUUGCAUAUAUGCUUAGGAAACAAAAAAACAUAGAGAAAGCUGUAGAAAACACACAAAUGGGCACAAAUAUAGCAUUGGGAUUUCAUCAAGCCUGUCAUAGAUCUGUCCCAGUUUUGCAUGCCGCUUGAAACACACCUAGCUUAUGAGCCUAUAGAAAGUGGGGCCCUUAUAAAGUUGACACUGGAGUAAUUUACCUAAAAACACUUACUAUACUUGUUCAGAAAAAAUACUGAUAAAUGUGGCUUUCAUCAAAUCAGCAAAGUUGCUCCAGUCAUAAAAUUGUUGCACAUCAUCUCAACCCGAUGUGAAGAAAUAAGUUUUUCAACGCCAAAAUCAGAUCAUGGGGCUUGAACUCGAUACGCUUGUUGACAUAUGCAUGCAAAGGUACUUUGUCCACUUCAAAAGGUGGGAAACUUAAAUUACAUCAUUGGAUGUUUCAAGAAGUGUUGAAUCGAUCGCUUCCUUUAAUGACACAAAUAAAAAGGAAUGAGAAAGAUUAUAACUCCCCACCAAGGAAGCAGGUUUAGUUCAAUGUAAAGAUUUACCUUUCAAUGUCUUAUCUGGAGAAAGCAGUCUUACCAUGAACCAUAAAUUAGAUUUACCUUGCAAUGUCUACUAAAGAUAACAAAUUGUAUAAUAUUUACUGAACAAAUUAAAGCAAGAAAACGGAGGCAAGAGAGAUUGACAUGUCCUCUCAAGUCAGAAUGGGCUCGAGGUAAUGUGGAACCUAUGAGAUCAAUGAAUUUCGAUACUCGAUCGUGAGCAACUUCUGUUUCUGAAUACCAAAAAUGAAAAGUACAGGUUUCGGAAAUACCAAAUAUAAAAGAUAUACCUGCCUCUUCAUGAAUGUCAACUCAUACCUUGACCAUGUACUUUCUCAUCAGAACCUGCAUCUUCGUCAGAAAUACCCAACCCAAGUCCAGCACGACAGCGGGCAAAGCAAGGCAUCCAAACCCCAAAAGCCAACCGCCACGUCGCUUCCAACGCAGAGUCGACUCGAACCCAACCGCGUGGCCUCCUCGUCGCUUAACCCUGAAACCUUCCUUGUCGCACGGUUGCAUCUCUCGCAUUCUCUUCCUUUUUGAAAAGGAGUCGCGCGAGGCGAGAGAAAAAAGCCCCUGCCGUCGGCGGCCGAACCACGCGAUGCUCCAGAGGCUGGGCCUGCGCGGGAGCCCCAGCGCCCCCGCCGAGGAUGGCGCCUCCGUGUCCGCGCCCCCCGCCGUAGCGCCCUCCGGGAACGGCGGCGCUGGCCUGGGGCGGCCGCUGCGGCUGGCCUACUGCGACGAGAAGGGCAAGUUCGUGAUGGACCCGGAGGCGGUCGCGGCGCUGCAGCUCGUCAAGGGCCCCGUCGGGGUCGUCUCCGUCUGCGGCCGCGCGCGCCAGGGGAAGAGCUUCGUGCUCAACCAGGUACGAAACGCGCGCUUGCCCUUUUGUUGUUGUUGGUGGUGGUGGAGGAGCGUUUAGGCUGGGCGCACCAAAUGUGCGCCUAAGGUUUAGGCGCUGCUUAUGCUGGUUGGUAGAUCGGUGUGUUUGGCCCUAGCGUGAGAAUGUUUGGAAGAUCAUGGGAUGGAUUUAGCAACUCGCGGUUUGGUUGGAUUUAAGAUUCUAGGGUUUAGUUACUGCUGAAUUGGAGCAUGCGCUCGUCAGGUUUUUUUUUUUAUCGGAUUUACCGACAUGGGUGUCUAAGGCUGAAUACUACUCGCGUCCAUACGUUUAGAGGAUUUGUGUUCAUUGCGAGGAUUCCAUAGUAAAAAGACGCAUAAAUUGCGUACUGUGCUUAGGUCCAACCGUUGGUUGCUUCAGGUGCGCAUAUAAAAUUCGCAACCACCGCCUGGCCUUAGAAACAGUGCCUUCAAUUUUGAGAAGUUUCGUGUGUACUGCAUUGAUAUGGAUUGGAGAAUACAUGGUGAUGUUUAGCUGAGUGCUAAGCUAGGUUAUGCAGUUCUCAGUUUAGCUACCAUCAUUUAGGGAUAAGCUUUGGAUGCAAGGUUGUGAUCUUCUGAUAACUAUCUGAAUAGGAUGUCAAGGAGCCUCACCUAUCUGUUGGGAUAAUGGAACUAUGAAACUGGUAAAUACAUGGUGAUGUUUAGCUGAGUGCUAAGCUAGGUUAUGCAGUUCUCAGUUUAGCUACCAUCAUUUAGGGAUAAGCUUUGGAUGCAAGGUUGUGAUCUUCUGAUAACUAUCUGAAUAGGAUGUCAAGGAGCCUCACAUAUCUGUUGGGAUAAUGGAACUAUGAAACUGGUAAAACAAGCACAGUUGCUGCUCACUGGAUAAGAACACUGCAAAAGUUAAUCAAAAUAAUGUCGUGAAAUUUAGACACAGUGUUCAUGUCAUCUUUCUAAUGCAUUGGCACUUGCUGCUAGGUGCAUCUGGCCAUAAGCCCAUAGCCACAUGAUUUUGAGUGGUAGAAUACUUCUAUACCUCUACUGCAGAGAACAGCCUGACAUGUUUGAUUAUUAAAUCUCAAGAUUAUGUGACACUGGUAUACAUCUGAUCAUGUGUACCGUGUACUGAAUCAAAAGUCUUCACACUAAUUCAAUCAGUUCUGUCAGAUGAGCCGCAUAUCAAAAUCAUUAUCCUGCUAAUCCAUCAGAUAAUGAGAUAACGCUAGAAUAUUAUUUUUUCUUGGAUGCUUGGGUCAUUGGAGCUUGAGUUGUAACUUCAUUUUGCUAUUGUACCUUUGUUUCUUUUUGGCGAAAUGAUAUUUGUUUGCUUCAUGCUUUUCUACCCUGUUCUCCAUUUUGUCACCAAACAAUAAAUUAUGACCUCUGUAUGUAGCUUCUAGGCCGAAGCAGUGGUUUUCAAGUUGCAUCAACACAUCGACCUUGCACCAAGGGACUUUGGAUGUGGAGUGCACCUUUGAAGAGAACUGGUCUUGAUGGAACUGAAUACAAUCUUGUCUUGUUGGACACUGAAGGAAUUGAUGCUUACGACCAAACGGUAUGUUGUGUAGCUUUUCCUUAAACUUGAUCCAUAUUUCCGAUAAGGACAAUCUCAUCGUCUGCUAAAUGAUAGUACUUGAUAUUUUUCAUUGUUUAUUUGCAUCAGUAGUUAAAUUGUGAUGAUGAGAUGGUCAAAAGAUUUUCUACUUCCAGUAUUUCCUUUAUUGACAAGAUCAUGACAAUGACUUGAGGGAUAUGCAAAUUUCUCAUGCCAAUUCUAUCUAUUCUAAGUUAUUCCAUGUUAAUACUAGUAUAUAGCAAAAGUGUACACACAGUGUGCGUUUUUUUUGCAUCAAUAGUAAGUUUUCUGUAUUCUAUUUAACCUACUCUGAUGGAACUCCAAUGAGAAACCAUCCAGGAAAAAAUAUUCUUGCGAUUUAAUACAAUUAGAUGUUAAUACAGUUCGGUGCUAGUAUAAACAAAUAUUACUCCAAACUACAAUUAGAAAGCAUGGACUUUAAUACUCAAUUUUUUCCUGAUGAUUUUUUCAUGGCUGCUUGCUUGCUUUUGUGCACUACCAUAUAUAUUUCCUUCUGCUUUCUGUUCUGUUGUCUCAUGUUCACUAUUUCCUUUUUGACAGGGCACCUAUAGUAUCCAGAUAUUUUCACUAGCUGUUCUAUUAUCAAGCAUGUUCAUAUACAACCAGGUAUAUUUCUUUAUGAAUGACCGAGCAUUGUUCCGCUAUGUUGAAGAGCUUUUCAUAUCCUGAGUAAUAUUGAUGAUGUCGAUCAAUAAACUGGUUUGGUCUUUUUCCAUGCAUACUCUGAUGUGUUGAAACCUUGUUGCUUCCUCCAGAUGGGAGGGAUAGAUGAAGCCUCAAUCGAUCGUCUUUCACUGGUCACAGAAAUGACAAAGCAUAUACGCGUUAGGGCCUCAGGUGGAAGGUCCACUGCGUCUGAACUUGGUCACUUCUCACCAGUCUUUGUUUGGUUGUUGAGGGUAAGAUAUUGGGUUUAUUUUGUCCUAAAAAAGCUGUUUGCAUUCUGCUUCAAUUGUAUUUUAAUUUAAUCGUUCACUAUCAAAGAUCUCUGAUGUUUAACCAUGACCUGCAAUUCAUGUUGUACCUCUUUUAUAAUCACUGACAUCCUUGUUUGCUACCUGCAGGACUUCUACCUGGACCUGGCAGAAGACAACAGAAAAAUUACACCACGAGAUUAUCUUGAACUUGCGCUCAGGUCUGUUCAAGGUGGAGGAAGAGAUGUAUCAGCUAAGAACGCGGUAUGGGUUCAAAGUUUUUUUCAAAUGCAAUUCUGCUGAAGUAACUAGCACACAUGUUAUUGCGCUGUAUCUUCUUGUAACAUAUCUUAAAGAUACUGAUUUAUCUUCUUUUUAACAUCUCUGGAGAUACGGGAGUCAAUCCGUGCUCUUUUUCCAGACAGGGAAUGCUUUACACUUGUGCGACCGGUGAACAAUGAGAAAGAUCUCCAGCGCCUUGACCAACUUGAUGUAAGUAUUGUUCUGUUCAACUGCAAUGGAGAACCUGCUACUAUUGGCAUGUGCACAAGAAGUUGAAUUUAUUUAUAUCAUACUGUUGAGAUAGAAUCACAUUUUUGUCAAGCCGUGUGUGCACAAAUACCCAUGCAGAUUAUUGAGUGCUUAUUGUGGCUUUAGAGUAAAAAAUUAAUGUUGGAAAGUCCUUUGAAGAUCUCACAACAUUAACUAGCAUGAACUAAAUAGUAAAUGAAUGUUCUACAUGUUCUCUUUUAGUUUUCUACACGUUAGAAUCAUAUUGCAUGUUCACUAUGGUCCAUUAGUUUAAAUGGUUGACGUUGAUAAAGGUUCUCAUUUCUUUACUAUUUAUUUUGAUUUCUUUGUGCAUGCUUAGUUUGUCUCCCUGUUUGCAGCUGAAUACCUUUCGUCCAGAGUUCAAAUCUGGUUUGGAUGCUUUCACAAAAUUUGUGUUUGAUCGAACAAGACCCAAACAACUUGGAGCUAGUACCAUGACUGGCCCCAUCCUUGCUGGAUUGACACAAUCAUUUCUUGAUGCCAUUAAUACUGGUGCAGUCCCGACAAUAUCUUCCUCAUGGCAGGUAUGUCUGGAUUGAUAAUAUCAUUACAAAAUCACAAUAUACAUAUUGUUUUGAUCUUUUUAUAUGUAUUGCGCAUCCAAGUCUUAGUGUUUCUUGUAGAUUAAUUCCUAUAAUGCUAUCGAGAAACUGACCUAAUCUGCAGUAUGAUCAUUUGAAUUGCACUCUCAAGUUUUUGUGUCCAUUUUAGUUUAACCAUUUGCAGUGCUCCUUUGUAGCAGGUAAUCUUUGGAGCAAAUGAUGGUUGAUUUAUAUGCCCUAGGUUUUGUUAUACUUAAUAUUCUUAGGUGGCUAUGAUGUUCUAGGUGCAGUAUUGUCAGUUAAUUGCGCACCUUAAGUAUGCUUACUGUAAGGAAGCAAGAUAAAAUAUGAGAGAAUGAAUUUCUGAAACAGUUUGACAAAUAACUAAACUAUUAAUUUAAACAACAGAGACACACACAUGAGGAUAUUAAGUGACAUGAGUGGUUCGGUGAGCAACUACAACCAUUAGCUUAGUUUUGUAGUUGUUGUGUCGCUUUUUACUAUUCAAUUGCAGUUUAGGUAUCUGGUUUUGUUAGGGAGGAAGUUAACUGAUAAUUUAUGUUGUGCAGAGUGUGGAGGAAACAGAAUGUCGUAGGGCAUAUGAUUCUGCUCUGGAUACUUACAGGUCUUCAUUCAACCAGAAAAAGUCAGUAGAAGAGGUAGGUAUUUCUAAUAAACAAGAUGCAUUGUGUUCUUCCGCUUUACUGGAAGGUUCUGAUCCUUUCAUUUUGUCAGGAUGCUUUGAGAGAAGCACAUGAAGCUGCAGUGAAUAAGGCUAUUAAUGUUUUUAAUGCCUCUGCUGUUGGUGCUGGUUCAGCUCGUUCGAAAUUUGAAAAGCUUCUACAAACUUCUCUGAGAAAGAUUUUUGAGGUGACUUUGCUGCUCCUCUUCUACUUUAAUUGAACAUGUCUGCUAUUGUUUGUCUUUCUCUUUGAUGUUCCAUCUUCCAAUGCCUGCUAAUUGUUAAAAUACAUCAGUGCAGAAGUUUGCCAGAAAGCUUAACCGUACUAAUAUGAAUGCAGGAUUACAAAAGGAAUACUUAUCUGGAGGCUGAUUUGCAAUGUACAAAUAGAAUACAGAACAUGGAGUCAAAAGUACGGGCAGCAUGUAGCCGUCCUGAUUCAAAAUUGGAUGAUGUAGUCAGGGUGAGACUAUUUUAAACAUUUCCACGGAUGUAAUCAUGCAAAUCAUUGGAAUGCUCUUUCCAUUUUAGCUCAAAAUUUAAUGAUGCACAAACAUAUUCCAUGUUUUAUAUAAUGCAGCUCCUUGAUGGCCUCGCCACGGAGUACGAGUCAACUUCUUAUGGGCCGAAGAAAUGGACAAAGCUAGCUACGUUUCUGCAGCAGUGGUAAACACCUCUUCCCUCUUAGUGUUUGUCUGUGUCUUUGUGACACGAUGACAGUAACAUACCAUAAAAUGUGUGCAGUGAACUUGAUCAAUUUGGUGACAUGGAACUUAUGAAUUUAUGCUGUUCAUUUUGUCGGCAUGAUAUUAAAUCUUGUACUGACACUGUUAGGAAAUAUUUGAACAUCUUAACCAUUUCCCUCCAUUUUCCUUAUAUCUGUGACUUGGAACUAAAUUUCAUUUUCUGUCAAUCACUGCAGUUUAGCGGGUCCCGUGCUGGAACUUUUCAGAAAACAGUUGGAGCAUAUAGAUGCUGAAAGGAAAUCCCUGAGAUUGAAAUGCAAUUCAAGCGACGAUAAGUUAGCAUUGCUUAGGAAGCAACUCGAGGCAAGUGAGGGGCACAGAGCAGAGUAUUUAAAGCGAUACGAGGAGUCUAUUAAUGAUAAGCAGAAAAUUUCAAAGGAUUACUCUGCUCGACUGGCUGAACUUCAGAACAAGGGUAGUAAGUUGGAAGAACGCUGUUUGAGCUUGUCUUCUGCUCUUGAACAUGCAAAACGAGAAUCUGUUGAUUGGAAGAGUAAAUACGAUAAUAGCAUUUUACAGCAGAAAGAAGAGGAAAGCAAGUUAAGAUCCCAAAUUGCUUCGUUGGAGUCUAGGGCGAAUAUCAGUGAGGGGAGAUUAUCUGCUGUGCGUGAGCAGGCUGAGUCUGCUCAAGAGGAAGCAUCCGAGUGGAAACGUAAAUGCGAAUAUGCUUCCAGUGAGGCCAAAACAGCUCUUCAGAGAGCUGCUGUAGCACAGGAACGCACAAAUAAGAAGGUGCAAGAAAGGGAAGAUGCUUUAAGGGCAGAACUUGCUAGCCAACUGUCUGAGAAGGUAAUGCUUUCUCUUGUCCAAUUGUAGCUGUUUACAGUUGUUUACCUCAAGUCUUACAGGUGCCUGGUUUGCUUACAUUUGCUGUUUCUGUUUCUUCAACAGGAUGAAGAAAUAGCCAGACUCAGCACAAAAAUUAACCAAACUGAAGUCCAUGCUACAAGCCUGAUCUCAAGGCUUGAGGUAACCAUUUCCCUCCUUCUCUCCAUUUCAGUACAAUACAAAUUUCUUGUAGGUGAUGUGAUCUAACCUCUCAUGUCUGCAAUGAACUAAAUUCAGGUUGCUGAAGCAAAGGUGAAGAAUUAUGAGUCAGAUUCGGUGACUCUGAAGGAACAGAUUAGAUUAUUGACUGAGAACUUGGAGUCUAUCAAAACUGAAGCUCAGUCACGUGAGAAGGAAGUGAAGAUUCUGGAACAAGAAAAAAACCAUCUUCAAGAAAAGUUUUUAUCAGAGUGCAAAAGGUUCGAUGAGACAGACAGGAGGUGCAAAGAAGCUGAAAGGGAGGCUAAACGUGCAGUAGAAUUAGCCGACUUAGCUCGUGUAGAAGCUGCUGCUGCCCAGAGAGAUAAGGGCGAAGCACAGCGACUAGCAAUGGAGAGACUUGCGUUAAUAGAAAGAAUGGAGAGACAGGUUGAGAGUCUAGAGAGGGAGAAGAAUAAGAUGGUGGAAGAAAUGGAGCGACUUCAUCAGUCUGAGUUGGAUGCAUUGUCCAAGGUCACGAUGCUUGAUGAAAGGGUUGAUGAGAGGGAAAAACAGAUCGGGGAGAUGUUAGAACAGAAUAAUCAGCAAAGAUCCAGCACAGUUCAAGUGCUUGAGCAUCUACUGGAAACGGAACGUGAAGCUUGCGCUGAAGCCAAUAAGAGGGCUGAGGCCCUGUCAUUGCAGCUGCAAGCAACUCAAGGCAAGCUUGAUAUGCUCCAGCAGGAGCUGACAUCAGUUCGGCUCAAUGAAACCGCACUUGACAGCAAGGUUAAGGCCUCAUAUUCACGGCGCUUAAGGGGUGAAGGUACCGAGUCUGUCCAUGAUAUGGAUAUCGACGAUGACAACAAUGGGAGGCGGAGAAAAAGAACAAAAAGCACUACAAGCCCGUUUAAGCAUCACACGGAGGAUGGCGGGUCUGUAUUUAUCGGAGAAGAUACUAACAACGGGAGCCAGCAGGUCGAGGAGACGGAGACUGAAGACUACACCAAGUUCACUGUGCUGAAACUGAAGCAGGAGCUCACGAAGCAUGGGUUUGGUGCCCAGCUGCUACAGUUGAAGAAUCCCAACAAGAAGGACAUCGUCGCCUUGUAUGAGAAGCAUGUUGUGGCCAACUAGCUGUGUCCUCCAUAGCAUUAUGUAAUAGUAUUAACUCUGCACACCAUAGAUUUUCCUGUAGCGUUCAACAUUGUGUUUGCAAGAUUCUGUGCCAUCUAAUUUGUGGCUGCCACGUACAAGAUGUGCCAUCUAAUUUGUAGUGUUCAACAUUGUGUUUGCCAAGACGAUCGAUGAGCAGCAUGACCGGACCCAGAAUACGUGAAUGCUUGAUUAAUUUGCUCGCCGUGCCGUGCCGUGCCGGUCGAGACGCCGAACUGUUUCCCUAGCACAUCGUCGAGUCGUUGCUGGCCGGCCCCACUGGGCAGCGCCGUAGUCGCGCGCACGUAGAUAAGGGCGCACUCUCUUGCACACGACGACACGUACCCACGUCUUAAUCAUCCAUCCCCAAAAAAGGUCUCGUUGCCUAAUACGCAUCGUGCCAAAUCCUUUCUUUCACGCACACAAGAACACAAUAACAAAAGACCGGACUCCAAACUCAAUAACAGGCGCCAUUAAUUGCCCCUUGCGUUACUCAACAACAGUGCCUAAUCUCUUUUCCUUUUUUAACACGACCAGUAGUGCCUCAGCUUAAUUAGCUCUGGCCGUGUCGAGGCGUACGUACGUGGCUGGAGUAGGCCGCGAAGCAACCCAAAGCCUUGAAUCGGCAAGGCUCCCGUCCCGCGUUUCGGUCCGUCUGUCUUGCAAGCAACGGGAAAGACUCCAUCCCCCCCCGGGGUGGCUGGCUUUGUUUCGGUUUUAAGGUUCUUGUUUCUUGCAAGCCAAGUGCAGGUGCGUCCUACGUACGUGCUUGCUCGCCGACCAAAAACCGCCACGGCACGCCCGAUCCAUGUCGUCACGACGCGCCGUGCUCUCCCCGUAAGAACUCCCUUUAAAAUCCCCUUCCCGUUCUGCAAAUCCGCAUUGCAUGCACCACACAUCAUUAAGAUUCCACCAGCUUUUUUCAUCCCGAUUCUUCCAGAGGCAACAUUCUUCUUCGGCGAAGCGUAACGCAAGACCCGGCUGCGGCAAUGGCGACGCCACGGAGCGAGGUGGUGGAGGAGCAGCCGCAGCCGCAACCGCAAGAGCACGGGGUGCACGUCGAGGAAGAGGAGCGCCAGCCUCUCCUGGUGAAGCGAUCGGCGGACGACGGCGGGACCGGGAUGAGCCCGAUGCAGAAAGCGAUCAGCCAAACAUACCAAAGCACGGCGCACCUGGCAACGCUCCUCCCAACGGGCACCGUGCUCGCCUUCCAGCUCCUCUCCCCGUUAGUAACCAACCAGGGCGACUGCCUCCCCUCCAACCGCGCCAUGGCCGGCGCCCUGGUCUCCCUCUGCGCGCUGUCCUGCUUCGUGCUCAGCUUCACCGACAGCUUCCGCGACGACAAGCAAACGGGGAACAACGGCGCCGUGCGGUACGGGUUCGCGACUCUCAGGGGCCUCUGGGUGAUCGACGGCGGAGCGCCGCUCGAGGCAUCCCAGGCGGCCAAGUACAGGGUCAGGUUCCUGGACCUGGUGCACGCCGUGGUGUCCGUCAUGGUGUUCGCGGCCGUGGCGCUGUUCGAUCAGAACGUGGUGGGCUGCUUCUGCCCCGUGCCGUCCCAGGACGCCCGGCAGGUGCUCACCGUGCUGCCCAUAGCGAUCGGGGUCGUGGGCAGCAUGUUGUUCGUCGCGUUCCCGACCACCCGCCAUGGCAUCGGCUUCCCGCUCUCGCAGCACUGAUUUGUUUGAUUGAUUGAUUGAUUGAUUGCGAAAUUGGGUUCGGUUGUUCGGUUUUCCUUGUUCCGUUUCUUGUAAAUGAUACAGUGGUCGGACAAGUUGUGUAAUCUAAUUCCGGUGCCGAAUGGCGAACUUUGAUAAGGUCUGUUCUUGUAUCUGCUUGUGCGCACCGUACUGUUGACUUAUUUUCAGAUAAAUGUGUAGCCGGAUGGAAGGUGGUACUAUUGAGCUUCUGACGCGAUGAAGGGCCUGAAUUUUGUACCCCGUAAUUUUGCUUCAAUUCCUCGUGGCUAAAAAAGUACACCAUACGCUAUGGCCUAUGGGCGUGUGAAUAUCGGUAGAGUUGGCUUUUCCAAACAGCAUUGUUCAUGUGCUUUUAACUGACCCAUAGACCUCAGAUUGUAAGCUAUGCAAGCUUGGUUAGUCCUCUAGAAGCGUUGUUGGACGGCAGAUCGUUUGGCUAAGAGGGGGCUUGCUGCAUCCUACGAGGUGCCCUCUAUGCGAUCAGAUUCCGGAGACGAUCAACCACCUCCUGCUCAAUUGCGUGGUGGCUCGUCAGGUUUGGGCUUCGGUGCUUUCGGUUUGGCACUUUCCAGAUCCAUUGGUGUCGAGUGCUCAUGCUGAGUGGUGGACUAGCCGUCCUGUGGUGCAAAAUGAUAGAUACGAUUUGUCAACUGGUAUUAUCUUGGUUUGAUGAUCGAUCUGGAAGCACCAGAACGUGUUAGACUAAACUGAACAUGCUUAGAUUGAAACUAAUGACAUGAUCUUAUAACAUUAGUCUAAAACACGAUCACAGACGCGGAAAUAAACUAACCAUUGGUUGGAACAGCCACGAACGCCUCUGAUGUCGUCGUGGGAGAUGUUGUUGUUGACGUAGGUGUUCGUGCAGGGUAGCGGUGACCCUCGGGGCGCCACCGACACUGACCUGGACGGGGAUCGGUCCUUGGGUUGCCCUCCAGCGCCGCUAAGUGAUUGGGUAGUAUUUCAGUGGAACGUUGGGAAUGAACCCGUGGGUGUUCCCUUUAUAUUGGUGUUGUGGGUUCAAGGCCGAUCUCGAAUCGCCGAGAUUCUGCUUCCGAUCAUCGCACGUUGAUGGCUAAUUGCUUAAUUAGCGGCAUGAUCAACGACAGGCUAAGGCAUGUUUUAUGGCUAAUUUCGUAAUUAUUGGCGUGAUUAGCGACUGGCUAAUUAAUGCUAAUCGUUAUUAGGUGAGAUCAUUCCUAACGAAUCGAUGAGGUCUUCAAUGGUGCACAGGUGGAUGCUACGAUCACUCUUCAGAGGAUUGUGACGGAGGGGUCUCUGCGGCAUAGUGUGGGCUUAUUCAAGCGUUCAUCCUUUGGAAGGUAUAGUCGAGUGGAAGUGAGAGGAGGUUUGAGUGAGUAGUAUUUCCACCCAUGGCGUUGUACUGCUUCGCGGUAUUUUUCUUCAAUGUAUGAUACAUCCGCUCGGUUGUAUUCCAAAAAAAGUUUACAAGUCAUGCGUUAACUUCAUGAAUCAUAAAAACUGUAUCUGAUUGAGUUUGAGUUUUUCAAGGGGGCAUUGCACGCGUGCAAUUUUUUUUUGCAGGGACAUGUGAGCAAAUUGACAAACUAUUCGAUAUAGAUGCAUCGUUGGUGGUUACAUGGACAAUUUUUCUUACAAACUGCUCCGGCACAAACUAUCGAAGAUAUGCGAAACGUAAUUCGGUACACCUUGAUUAAUACGGUGAUCAAGGUAUUUGUGCUAUUGAAAACGUCAAUCGUUUUCUCAAAAGUUUUAUGUGAUUCCACAUUUACAUGCUGCUAGUAUCAUAAUUUUUAUUUAUUCGUAUUAAAGUUGACCUGAACAGCACGUGUCACUGGUUCAUUCGGGGCUACAUCGGGACCAUCCAUCCCAUCACGACGGCAAAGACCCGUCACGUACUCUGUACUCCCUUCUGACGCACUGCCACGUGGGUCCAGGCAUCCCCAUCCUGCACAAAAGGAAAAAGUCACGAACAGCAUCUGCGACGUCUCCAUCCACCACAGAAGAUCCCCGACCAGUUCUCCGUCGCCCGCCCAGCCCAGGAACAUCUAUGAACACGCACGAGCGCAUCCCCAUCCAAACUCCCCAAGAAAAAUUACACCAAACACAGACACCAAAAAAAAAGGCCACCACAACACACCAAUCGCGAAUCCGCCCGCUCAUUAUUCUCGUCAACAACAACAGCAGCAGCAGCAGCAUCGGAAAUCAGAAAGAAGUAAGGAGCGAAAUAAUAAAGUCGGAAGGAAGCAGCAGGAGGAGGAGAGGAGGAAAAAGGGUUUUUAUUAGCAUGGAACAACAGCAGCCAGCGAUCCAGAUCCUGGCCAACUCGGAUCGAGUGGCCUCCCGUGUUGCUCCUAAUCCUCCUCAUCCUGCUGCUGCUGCUAAUUUCCAAUCGCCGCAGCGUCUCCGUCCUUUUCCGCUUUCGCAUCACGCGAGGCCGCCCCGUUGUUCCGCUCCUGCGCCUGCUCUUCCUUGUUGUGUUUGUGGAAUUACUGCCCCGGAUCGCCGGUCCGGUUCGACUUUUCUUCCCCUCCUUCCGCCGGGCUAUUUAUCGCGGGAUUUGGCGAGGAGGAGUGCGGAGGAGGGUUAGGUUUUGUUUGUUUGUUUGGUUUGGUUUUCUUCUGUUCUGCGGUGUUUGGUUUCGCGUCGUCGGGGGUUGGCGAGUCGCCGAGUCUGGGUCUGGAUCGAUCGGACUCGGAGGGGAUGGAUUCCUCCGGGGAUGAGGGAGCCGGGGAGGCGCCGGGGAGCCCUGCCCCUGCGCCGUCGUCGCCACCCGCCGCCGCCGCUGCUGCUGGUGGUGGAGCCGGUGCCUCUGGAUUCAGGAGCAGGCCGACGGCGAAGCGCGUGAUGAAGACGCCCUACCAGUUGCAGGUUCUUGAGAAGACCUAUGCAGGUUGGUGGACGGUUUCCCGAUGAUUCUGAAAUUUUGGGGUUUCGACAGUGCUUGUUUUACAGGAUUUUUUGAUCGGAACUGUGAGUUUUUUUUUCUGAGGAUUUAGUUCGGUUUGUGAUGGUGCAGAUGAUCCGUAUCCGAACGAGACGACACGGGUGGAACUGGCUGCGAAGUUGGAACUGACGGACAGGCAGCUCCAGAUGUGGUUCUGCCACCGGCGGCUCAAGGACCGGAAGCAACCGGUGAAGCGGGAAGAGGAGGUUUCUGUGCCAGUCAUACCGUCGCCGUCUGUGCUGCAGCCGUCGGUGCCAAACAGCAAACUAGCGCGGGGCUCCGGUAGCACCUACAGUCAGCAGCUGCUGCCUUGCUCGCAGAGAGGCCGUGGCCGUGACCGCUCGUCGGCUGUCCCAAGGAUUUCUGCUACAGAGAUUGCGAGGAGAUACUAUGAGCCACAUCAAGUUAUGCUGCCUCCGCUGGCAGCAGUGCAACCCAUGCAAGGAGCACACCAGAUGAUUGAUUAUGUCCAAGAGCUGAUAGGGGAGCAACUGAGGGAGGAUGGGCCAGUGCUUGGUGUGCACUUCGAUCCGCUUCCUCCUGGUGCAUUUGGGACACCUAUUGGUAUGAGCAAUGCCCAUGCUGCUUCCAUUUUGUAAUUUUGUAGUGCCCUAAUAUGUUUGUAUGCUUAAUGACAUACCUGAGGAAAUUGUGAAUGUAAACUUGAGUUUUUGUUGUGUUUGGAAAGUGUUAAGACAGUGUAUUGAUGCCAAUUCCUCAUGUUAUACUUCCAAUAUUUUGACAUGAUUUCUGCUGUUCAUUUUUCAUGUGCUGGAGCAGUUCAAGAGCAGCGGAAGCAGCCUUUUCGAUCUUAUGAGACCAAGGUACUCUGGGCAUGAUCCCAAGCUCAUGAACGUAUGCUUCAUUACAUUUGCAGACACAUGUUGUGUUUUGCUAGCCACAGAGCUGUAUGCACCCCUGUUGUAGAUGGUUUGAGCAGAAGGACUAUUCAUUUAUCACAGUUUGCACCUUCAUUAAUCUGCCUCACAUACAUUACGAAUUAUCAUGGUGCUCCAAUGACUGCAAAGAGCAAACUCUGUUUCAUGCAGAGGCACAGCUCACUGCUUGCAUAUUUGAUGCAUCAGUUAAUUCUGCAAAUAUUUGAACACAAGCAGGGUUCAUAGAUAAAAUUGGUUGCAUGAAUUAGGUUUAGACAGAUAAGAGAUGUAAUACUUAAAGUGUUAAACUACUGAUGCCAAUAUUGUUGUAGUUCUGGUAUGAAAGUAGAGAGCAAAAAAGAGAGACAUCCCGGUGUAUUUGUCCCAACUGGUGUUUAGAGCCAAGAUGAGCUUACUAGACUUGGCCAAAAGAUUUACGUUAUAAUGUAUGUUAUGUUUAUAAUGGUUUCCUGGCACGGUUGGUCCGAUCAGCUGUUCAGGAACAAAAUCAACCAAUCUUGUGAGCAGGCUAACAAAGGAAAUCAUAUGGUUUAUACAGAACUGCUAAUAUGUGUGUCAUCUUCGUAAAAUGAUCGCAAGGAAUUUAGAUUAUAAACUAGUAAGUCUUUGUAUUGGAACCACGGACCUAUGAAGUAAAUUUAGGAUCUAAUCAUUUUGGAUAAUUAUUUGCCCUGAGUUCAAGUGUGUUGAUGUGUUGAUAUUGUCUCCUGAUAUUGUAUAUGAUCCUGUUCGAGUACACCAUUUGAAGUUAUAUUACUAUGGUCAUGUAAAUAUGUUUGUUAGUGAUGUAGAUUGCUCAUUUCACUUAGUACAAAACAGGGCUUUUUGCAGUAACUUGUGCCUUGCCACCAUCAGCUCUAUUAAAUGGAUGAAUUUGAUGGAUGCCUCAUGAUUAUGACUUCUUUAUUCCUUGUAUGUGUAUUGUUGCUUUUAAGGGAAUAACCCAAAGAGACAUCAUAUCACCUACUUUGUUUAUGGAACAAUAUAUGUAUGGUUAAUUCUUCUUUUUAGCUUGAUUACAACAUUUGUGUCCCUCUCUCAUGAUUGAUCACAUCACGCUUAAAUACUUAAUUGUACUUUAUACUCAAUUCUACAAUUGUUUUUGUUCUCCUGUUGUAUUUGUCUUCUUGCCUUACCGCUUUUAGUUUGACAGUGUUUUUGUGUUCUGUUUUCCCCUUUGCAGGCAUCAGAAUUCUUGCCUACCAUAGACCCUUCUGUUCCAAGUACAGUUACUCGGAAGCGGAAGUCCAUGGAUGGAAAUUCUCCUCAUCUUGGUUCACGAGCAGUACGUCAGUACCAGUUUCUUCCGGAGCAGCCAAGCGUGUAUGAGAGGCCAAGCCAGCAGCGCUUUCAUGAUGCUCCAACGGAAGCUUCAAAUUUGAGGAUAUCUUCUGUGUCUACAGGAUCACGCUUUCUCCAUGGUGCUGAGCAUGAACCUAGCUACGCAUUUCAUGGUCAAAUAUCUGGUCCUAGCCAUUUAAGUCAACAUGGAAAACCAUUGAUCUUCCCAUCCGGAUCCACAGACUAUGAGGCAGCUUCAUCUUAUAUUAAUGUUAGCGCUGCUCCAAUCGAAGGCCAGUUUGGCAUUCCACAAGUCGCUGGAUUUAAAACACCCCUUGCAUGUUCCGAAGGAGUGGAUUAUCGGUGUGAAGAUGUGUAUCGAUUGGAUAAAAAGCGCAAAGUAUGAUUUUCAUUGACUUCAUGGAUACACCUAUAUUUCUUCUUCUGUUCAGAUUAGUUGAUAUACGAUCUUUUUCUCAUAUCAUAUUUAUUUCAGCAUAGCGAGGAAGCAAAGAUUGCAAAGGAAGUUGAUGUGCAUGAAAAACGAAUAAGAAAGGAGCUCGAAAAGCAAGAUGUAUUGAAUAGAAAGGUAUUCCUUGUUUUUGUUAUAGAAGAUCAAUUAUGUCUUUCAUGGUAAGACACUUAGCGUUUUAGUUUAUUUGCAGAGAGAAGAACAAAUGAGGAGGGAAAUGGAGAGACAUGGUCGUGAAAAAAAGAAAGAGGAGGAAAGGUUGAUGCGUGAAAAGCAGAGGGAAGAAGAGAGACUCCAAAAGGAGCAAUGGCGGGAACACAAGCGCAAGGAGAAGUUUUUGUUGAAACAGUCCUUGAGAGUUAGUUCACUAGCUCCUACACUAUAUCAAUGCAACAAGAAUAGAGUUUAGACCAUUGGCACUGUUCAGUUUAUAAUCUUUUUUAUGCACAGGCUGAAAAACUAAGACAAAAAGAGGAGCUCCGGAAGGAGAAAGAAGCUGCAAGGCAAAAGGCUGCUAAUGAAAAGGCUACAGCACGUAGAAUUGCACGGGAAUACCUGGAACUCAUGGAAGAUGAGCGCUUAGAGCUAAUGGAACUGGUUUCACGGAGCAAAGGAUUGCCCUCAAUGCUUUCUCUUGAUAGUGAUACAUUGCAGCAACUUGAUUCAUUUAGAGGUGUGCCCAUGAUUCCUGGAUCUAAGCUUCUAGACUGCAUAUACUGUCUUUGCUUCCUUUGUUUUCAUUCGAUAAGAAGAAAAAGGAAGCAUCUGUCGAUUCAAUACUGAACUUUGUUUUUCUCAACUGGGAUAAUUACCUAUUUUAUGUCAUAAGUCAAGGUCUGUGUCAAAAAAAUCAUCAUCUUAAAUAUAUGAUCUGGCUAGUUCCUAGUACAUUAGUACAUUUAAGCCUGAAGUUCUGAUGAUACUUGGAUUAUCAUAUCUAAUAUAAGAAUGGAAACCUCCAAACAUAUACUCCCUCCGUCCGGUAUCAAGUGUCACAACUUUGUCUAGAUAAGCAUGUAUCUAGACGCGUUUUAGUGUGUAGAUAUAUGCGUACCUAUAGAAAAAUUUGCGACACUUAAUACCGGAUGGAGGGAGUAUUUAUUAUUUUAUUUUCAUAUGUUUAUAAAUUUGAGCCCCCUUUGCUGUUCCCCCUUUUUUAAGAAGGAAUCUAUCCAUUAAAAUACCCCCUUUCUAAGAAUAAAUAUCAUUACUGCUUAUUAACAAAUCAGUAUGUCCUUUCCGUAUGAAAACUUGGCUAACUAAAUAGUUAUUUCUAUUAUCAGGGUUAAAAAAGUUGGAUAAAGUUUUUUCAUUACUGUUUAGUGCUUAGCCUGGAUUAUAUAAAAUACUUUGUUUGCUCGAGCUAAAUAUCACAAAAAUGACUAGUUUAUUUUUCCGCUAGUUCUGUUUAAGUUUCACGUGUUGUCGCAUGAUAUAACAUCUACAUUGGGGUUUGCCCUUUUACAGGAAUGCUGACACAAUUUCCUGCUGAAGUUGUGAGACUGAAGAUACCAUUUUCAGUAAAACCGUGGAUAAGUUCUGAGAAUAACAUUGGAAGUCUUUUGAUGGUACUUCCCGAUCUGAUUCGUUAACUUCUCUUUUCCACCUAAGCUUCUCACACACACAUAAAUAGUGGUAAAUGGAAGCUUUAAACUUGCACUUAAAAAGAGUUUUGCUACCCUGUGUAGCAGACACACGUAAAGAGUGGUAAAUGGAAGCUUUAAACUUGCACUUAAAAGAAUUUUGCUACCCUGUGUAGACAAAGAACACGUUUAUGAAGCUGAAGUGUAUAAAGAAUUAAAGACUGGUAAUUGGAAGCUUUAAACUUGCACUUAAAAAGAGUUUUGCUACCCUUUGUAGACAAAGAACACAUUAUGAAGCUGAAGUGUAUAAAAAAUAACCACUUAUGUCAUUAUUUUUCAUUUUUUAUUCUAUACUGCUCAUUUUUUAACCAAAGCCGCUUUUUAAUGAAAUUCAGGUGUGGAAGUUCUUUUUUACCUUCGCCGAUAUUCUUGGGCUUCCAUCAUUUACACUCGAUGAGUUCAUGCAGUCUCUUCAUGAUUAUGUAAGUGAUUUGCUCAAUGCAUAAUGUUAAUUUUGAAUCUUUGUAUUGUUUACUCUAAUCAAUACUGAGAGAUCCUAGGCUUUUCCAGUCAUGGCAUCUGUUUGUUCCUUUGUUGUUAUUGUCAAAUUAUGGUGUGAUAACCACUAACCUGUACUUUAGAUUGUGUGCAUGACUGUCUCUGCUUCCUCAGCUUUUAUAUCCAAUUCAUGUAUGCUGAAGUAUGCUAAAGCGUAAAGACUGAACUAGCAUUUGACUGUUGGAUCAUGACAAGUUUUCAGAGCUUUUACUUCUGUCCUUAAGAAAAUUUAACAGCUCAUACUAUAGCAUUGCUGACUGUAGGCGUUUACUGGUAUUCAUUUGACAGGACUCGAGGUUGUUGGCGGAAUUGCAUGUUGCUCUUCUAAAAUCCAUCAUAAAAGAUAUCGAGAAUGUUGCCCGGACUUCUUCAGAUGCUUUCGGUGUGAAUCAGAGCAGUUCUGCUAAUCCUGGAGGUGGACAUCCACAAAUUGUUGAAGGGGUGUGUGUGUCUAUCUCCUGGUUUUCUAAAACAUAGGUUUUGUUCUGUUGGAAACCAGUGUUAGGUAUAAUUUGUUGAUAUCUGAUUUCUUAUUGUUAGGCAUAUGCUUGGGGAUUCAACAUACUUACCUGGCAGCGCCACUUGACUUAUCAUACAUGGCCUGAAAUAUUGCGCCAAUUUGGUUUAUCUGCUGGUUUUGGUCCCCAGUUAAAGAAAAGGAGCGUUGAAGAUGUAUAUUGCCAUGAUGAUAAUGAGGUAUUGACUUUUGAAGAUUUGAAAUAUAUAACAGCUUAUUUGGCAUCCAUCUUUUCAUUUCAUUUGAUAGAAUUUCAUUUGGUUGAAUUUGAAUUCCGGGUUCAAAAAUCAUGUUUGUCUACCACAUGGAUUUGUAGAGUGAGAGACAAUUCCAGAGAAAUGAUGGCUUUUAGAGAGGAAUUGGGGUUAAUUAUAGUGUGAUUCCAUGGAAUUUGAGAUUGAAUUCCUGUGGCCAGUUCCAUGCCAACCAAACAAGUUGAUUGAAUUCCUGGAAUUUCAUUUGGUUUCUGGAAUUCAAAAGGAAUUCCAGAAUUCUAGGCCCAAAUGAUGGAUGCCAAACGAGCUGUAAGAUAAUUUGAGCUUUGACAGUUAUAUUUAGGAGAAAGUCUGCAUGUCUAUGACCCCAUGAACUAUAGGGCUGUUCUACUACUGUACUCCACACUGCAAACUAAAAACCGUCUAACCAAACCCCUAGAACUUAUCAAAAGUGGCUAUUUAGGGCAUCUUCAAAGAUACUCUUAUUUGAAAUCUCUGAUGUGGAGGAAAGAGAAAUAUAAGAGAGAAGAGAACUGACUCUUCGUGGAGUCAAGACUCUUAGCCAAGAGUCUACUAAGAGUUAACCUUUUUACUAUUGUAAACCAUCUCAUUUAAUGCUAAAAAAUCAUUUAGAGUCAGUUUAAAGACACAACCCAUUGUAUGUGUUAUUUUACUGCUGACUCUAGAUGGCAUGGAGAGUUAAUACUUAGUCUACUAUUGUGGAUGCCCUUAACCCCCUAAGGCCCUGUUCCCUCCGCCCAACCACCACCGCGCACGCACACACAUUCAAUCCAAGCAGGUCCUAAAGUUGUUUUAGUUCAAUGGGUGGUAGUAGACACUCCUGAGACUAUCAUAUUUCAGGAGGUUGUAUUUUAGACAGUUGCCAUUCUUUUUUGAGACGUCAAAUAUAUAUGGUGGCUUAUCUUUCAUUGCUCUUACCCUCUUCCAUUAUAUUGGUGUUCUUGUUUAUGACGUCUCUGUUGGAUAAUCUCACUUUUUGUUAAACCAUUAGAACUAAUUUUUUGUUUGGCUUGAAGAGGCCUUUGGCACCCCUUUAUCUGCUGACCCAGACUGACUUGAGAUUAGGUAUACUGCUUGUUAGUACCAAGCUCAACAGUGACAAUUUCAGAAGUAUAAUGUGUAGAAGAAGUGUUUCUAUCUACAUGCUCCCUUGUUAGUUAGGCUGGUAGUAAAACCCACUGAUAUAUUGUCAACUUCAUGGAAUUUAAACGACUUACCAAUUCUGAUUUGUUUUCAUCGAUUUGCUAAUAGUCCUGCAUUCUUUUCAUGGCAUAUGUACUUUAUAUCUCUAGAGCAUGUGGAAAAUAGUGUGUGGAGGCUGGCUUAGUUUGUUGACAUGGACCAAAAAUCCAUGCAAGCGCUUGUUUUGUCCAAAUGCAAAUUUUGAUUUGCCAUUUUCAAACUUAAGAGUCAGAAAAAUACUAAAUGAGCCUUGAGGGUAAGUUAUGAGACCAUAUAUAGUCACUGGCAAAACCUGUCAGGUUGCACGUGACCAUCUGACUAUUGUUUACAGUAAAACACCUAACUGUUCAGGAUACACCAGGGGAUGACUUGAUGUGGUAUUGGUAAGGAUUCUUUGCCCUUGAUUAAAUUUUGAAUAGCAGCAUGGCAUAUGACAAGUAGUUGAUACACUAAACUUGAAUACGAAACCUCCCAUGCAGCAGUAUUUCUGCUGAAUGACAAUUGAAAAUGAGAGUACAUAUUUGCAGUGCUUUAGCUUUUCUGUAUUGUGCUCUUUUGUUGUCCAUGACAAGAAAAUAAUGCAUAUAGUCAAGAACUCGGACCAAUUCAAUGCAAAAUUUGUUAACAGGGCCGUACUAGCCAGGAUGUUAUUUCCACUCUACGAAAUGGUUCAGCAGCUCUGAAAUCUGCUGCUUUGAUGAAAGAAAGGGGGUAUACCAACCGCAGGUCUAGGCACCGUCUGACACCUGGAACGGUGAAAUUUGCUGCUUUCCAUGUAUUAUCACUUGAAGGAGACAAAGGACUCUCCAUACUGGAGGUUGCAGAAAAAAUUCAGGUACAUUUGCGACCCUACAUUUCUUCCAAACUAGCCUUUACCUUCCAUUGCUUUCUUAGGUAACCUUACUGGUUUGAUUACUGUUUCCUUCAGAAAUCUGGACUGAGAGACCUUACGACAAGCAAGACACCUGAGGCAUCUAUAUCUGCUGCAUUGUCAAGGGACACAAAGCUUUUUGAAAGAACUGCACCCUCAACAUAUUGUGUUAAAGCUCCUUACAGAAAAGACCCAGCUGAUUCUGAGGCUGUAUUGUCAGCAGCACGGGAAAAGAUAAAGUUGUUUCAGAAUGCACUUUCAGAGUGUGAAGAAGUUGAAAAGGACGUUGAUGAUGCUGAUAGGGGGGAUGACGAUUCUGAAUGUGAUGAUGCUGAUGAUGAUCCUGAUGGCGAUGAAGUGAAUGUUGAGGAAAAGAAUGUCAAGGCUUCGGUAAUUAGAGCACACGAUGGUGGCAUACCAACUGUACCUUGUGACAUAAAUGAUGAACUAAAUACUUUGGGCAACACAUCAAUGCCAUCAAGCCCUCACAGUAGAUCUCAAAGUAACUCGUCGGGUAUGUUAGAUAAAGCAACUGCAGCAAGUACUUCAAGUGAUCCACCUAUUGGAGCUUCAUCUGCUUAUCAUGAGGUAGCAACGGACUCUGCACAAGACACAGAGAUUGAUGAAAGUAACCAAGGGGAAUCCUGGGUUGAGGGGCUAGCUGAUGGUGACUACUGUGAUCUUAGUGUCGAGGAACGCCUCAAUGCAUUGGUUGCACUGGUUAAUGUUGCCACUGAAGGAAAUUCGAUGCGUGCAAUUCUUGAGGUAUUUAUCUUGCUUAAUAUCUCUGUCUUUUUUUUUCCCGUUGAACAGCAUCUGAACAAGUGACUUCGCAGGAACGGCUUGAGGCUGCAAAUGCUUUGAAAAAGCAAAUGUGGGCAGAGUCACAACUUGAUAAAAGGCGUUCAAGGGAAGACUUUGCAGGCAAAAUUGAACAUGACUCUUGCAUGGGUUUGAAGGCCAUUGCUGAUCAGGAAAAUAGUGUUGGUGAAUGCAAUCUUCCUCCGGUACAGAACCUCAUUAAAGAGAAUGAUGGAAAGGCCAGCUCAGUAAACAAUGAUUUGCUUGUCGGCCAGCAUAGUCAGCUUAAUGCUGGUAAUAUGGUUCAUGAGGUGAAUGGUGUAAGCCGGGAAUCUAAUCCAGAGAGCCUGUCCGUUCAGCAAUAUGCUUCGUCUGACAAAACACGAUCACAGUUGAAGUCAUUCAUAGGUCACAAAGCAGAACAACUUUAUGUCUACAGAUCACUACCGCUGGGACAAGAUCGAAGACUGAAUCGGUAUUGGCAGUUUUCUACUUCUGCAUCACCUAAUGACCCUGGGUCUGGAAGAAUAUUUUUUGAAUCUAGAGAUGGAUACUGGAGGCUCAUUGACUCAGCUGAGGUGAUUAUUUUAUUCUUAACUCAUAAAUGCAAUCAUGCUACCUAAUAUUCUCAAAGCUUACACAUGAUUCAAUUCAGCUGGUGCAUUUGUCCUUUUAGUGUGUUAUUCAUUCUCCCUAUGUAAUUUAAUUUUGUGGGAGUGUGUUGAGUAGGAAAUGGUGUUCAAAAGGAGAAAGUUAUUUCUUACCUCAAAGUAAGAUGGAUUAUGUCCAUAUCACUGGAGGGGGUGGGGUGUGGGAACGCAUAAGUGAUAAGAGUAAAAUGGAAUUAUUCAAUGGAUCUUGUUGAAACUUGAAAAGUAGGCAAUUUCCGGUCGAUGACUUAAAGUCUUAAACCAUCCAUACUUAGUUGAAUUGCUUAGAGAGUACUCCCUCUGUUUCAUAAUUCUUGUCUCAAAUUUGCCCAAAAAUGGAUGUAUUUAUUCCUAAAAAGUGUCUAGAUACAUGUAAUAUUUCGACAAGAAUUAUGGAACAGAGGGAGUAGUUCUCAACUUCUGAUUCUUCCAUUCUAAUUUUAGCUCUUGAUAUCUUAAAAUGCAUCACUUCUGAAGAUUGUUUUGCAUGUUUGGGAAUAUCAUGUUGUUGAACACAACCUUGGGUUAGUGGCCAGCAGGGAGCAAUGGUCCAGUUACGAAAAAUCGCUGUAGUUGGCGUAUUACUUGUUGUUACAUUGAGUUUAGCUGGGGCCAGAUAGAAAUGGGAAUUUGUAACUUUCAAAGCUAUUGUUCUUUGUGUUUGGGCCAGUAAGCAGCUCUGAACUGCCAACGACAACGAUCUAUGAUUUUCUUUAUGUAAUAGAGUAAUUAGCAUUAUAGAUCUUCUUCAUCAGAUAUAGCAUGUGUCAGCAAGUACCACUUUGUUCUAGAGAUUGUGUCUUCUUUUAUUAUGUUUCGCUUAGAACCAACUGCAUUAUCUGGUUUGCAAGGUAUCUGCAGACUCUUCUUUUUAACAUGACUCACUAAAAUGCAGGCAUUUGAUGCUUUAGUAGCUUCUCUUGAUACUCGUGGCAUCCGGGAAUCACAUCUGCAUUCAAUGUUACAAAGCAUUGAGUCAGCCUUUAAGGAUGCUAUAGGGAGGAGGAAGUGUGCUACUGUAGAACACCCAGCCGGAAGUAUUUUGAGAAAUGGAAGUAGUGAAAUCAUAAGCCCAAAUCAUAGUAAUGAAUUUGGAAGCCCAUGCAGCACCCUUUCAGGUGUUGUGUCUGAUAACACUAAGGUAUAUUCGGAUUCUUUCAAGAUAGAGCUUGGGUGCGAUGAUCUGGAGAAGGUUGCUAUUUUGAAAAGGGCUAGCAUGUUUCUGAAGUGGAUGUGGAGGGAGUGCAACAAUCACCAAUCCACAUGCGCCAUGAAAUAUGGAAAGAAACGGUGCUCUGAGUUGAUACAACAGUGUGAUUCUUGCUACCAGAUUUACUCAACUGAAGAAAUGCACUGUUCUUCUUGCCACAAGACAUUCAAAUCCGUUCACAGUCUCUCGGAACACGCAUCACAAUGUGACGAAAAAUGGAGAACAGAUCCUGAUUGGAAGAUGCAAAUUUCAGAUGAUUCUAUUCCCAUAAGACUGAGAUUGCUGAAGCUUCUGUUAGCUUCCAUUGAGGUCGAGUAACAUGUUUGGUCACUGGCAUUAAGUUCCUAUUUUGUUUAUUGUAAGUAGUUCUGCUCUGUAAUUUUGUUUGUGUAUUUCAGGUCUCAAUUCCAGCCGAAGCUCUCCAACCAUUUUGGACGGAUGGAUAUAGAAAAUCAUGGGGUCUAAAGUUGUAUUCUACAUCAUCUACCAAAGAAGUUUUCCAGGUUGCACAUCCUUUCCCUUUCUAUAUACUCAAUACACCUAGUAGUUUUUAUUUGUUUGGUAGACAUCUACGGCCAUCAGUUUUACUGUAUUACUAAUUAGGAAAAGGACCAAUCUACAGCUGAACAUAAAGGCUUGGCUUUGUGACGUCACUUGGAUCCACCUUUUAACAAAGAACAUGUUUAGAAUUCAUGCAUAGAAAUUAUUUCACGAAAUGAACUGUACAUGGGGUUCUUUUGUUCUCGUGAUGUAUAGUCUAGACAGGAGAGAUGUGAAUGGUGUUAACUGUAAUAUCGAGUCAGACCAAUACUACUUUCAACCACGAUGGAUCACUGCUGAGUUGCUUCAGUUUGCUAGCCCAAGUGUUCUAGCAGUCCCCACUAGCAGACUUUUGAUAGACCUGAGUAAUUUAAUUAGAACUUGUACGGGUGUUUAUUUAUGCCUACCUGAAAUAUGCUGCGUCAUGGCUCUGCAGAUGUUAACUGUGCUGGAAGGUGCAAUAAGAAGGAAUUACUUGUCAUCUAACUUCAAAACAACAGCUGAGUUGCUAAAUUCCAUGGCACAAGAUAAUUCUAAUCAGAACUCUGUUGCACGUUCUGGAUCUGCUGAUGUACUUCCAUGGGUGCCCAACACUACUGCUGCAGUUACUUUACGAUUGUUAGACCUGGAUUCUGCCCUCUCAUGUACACUUGAUCAAAAGGCAGGAUUAAAUAAGGAGCAAGAGUGGGGAGACUUCCCCCCCGGUGAUUCCUCAAAAAAAAAAAAGGAGCAAGAAGCUGGGGAUUUCAUGGUGAGUCUCUUAGCUUAUAGUUACUGCAUCACCUCUUCGUGGUAUUUGCAUGUCUUGCUGGUAAUAGGUGUCUUCUUCCAUCUCUUGGAUAAAUUAUAUUAAGUAUUGAUACUAUAUGAUGAUUUAUUUGGAUAUUUUACAUUUCUUUAUUCAUCACACCUCAAUUUUUGCAUGCAACAGAAGUUUCCACCAAGAUGUACUGCUGUAAAGAACAAACAAGAAAUGGAAUCAGUGGGAGCUACUGGUUUUGUUCAACGUGAUGAAGCAUGGCUGACUCCCAGCACUGGCCAUAGAGGCCGUGGACGGGGAGGUCGAGGGCGUGGCAGGGGAGGUAGAUCCCGUAGUCGUGGUGGCAGGGUCCCAAGAGGUAUUGGCAGCUCUCCCAAGAGUGAGUUAAGGGAUGACAACAAUGUGUCGUUGAAAGUCCCAUACAAGCAAGCUCCCCGAGGUAGAGGUCGUGGCCGCAGCCGUGGCCGUGGCCGUGGCCGCGGUUGCGGUCGCGGACUUCGAACUGUUAGGCCUAGGCAGCCAACUGAGCAUGGAUCCAGAUCAGUUCCAAAGGCAAACUUAUUGGGGUCCUUUGGCAUGCUAGGAAAUGCAAAGCCUACAACCGUGCCUUCUCCACAAAGUUCUGGCGCAGAAGAGUGGGGCUUGGAGAGACGAGCAUACAUUGAGGAUGAUGAAAACAAUUCAGUAUCUCAAUCGGAUGAAUCAGAAGAAGAGAAUGGUGAGCCCAUGAAUGAGGACUAUAAUGAGCAGCUUCCUGAUUAUUCAAAGGACAAUUCUGGGUCCAGCCCCCUUCAGAUGAUGGAUGAUGGGUCCGAAGAUGACGAAGAAGGUGAUGAAGAGGUUGAGGACGACGGGGUUGACUAUGAUGCUGAACACCCUAUUGAUGAAGACAACAAUGAUGCUGAGAUGAGUGGCAAUGAUGGACUCGGCAAUGAUGAGGAUGACGACGACGACGACGAUGCUGGUGGGGGUCAGGACGGAAUGGGGAACACUGAUGACAAUGAAGAUGGAACAUCCUAUUCUUCAGAGUUCAGUGAAUAAGAGAUGUCAGGAAGAACCGGUUCGAGGCCAUGAGUAAUUUCUAUUAUCUACAAAUUCGUCUCAAGUCAAGAGGCCAAAUGCUGAGCGAAGGAACUAUUGAAGAGGUAGCCGGGUGAUGGAAGUGGUUACAUUUGAUUGUGGGGCAACAAAUUAGCUUGCUUCCCGUUGAAUUAGAAGAUCAGCUUUGUAUAUACAUAUGCUACUUUUGCAGCUUAGGCCUGCCCUUUGUAGAUAUGGUGAGAUGUGUUUCAUCUGGGGCUCUGGGCCAGUAGAAAUGUUUUGAUGGUACCGAUUCUUCUGAACUUUCUUCAACAGUUGGGCUCACCCUUGCAGUCGAUCUUACCUUCCUAUCCAUCCUGUGACUUAGCAGGUGGUUUGACAAGAGAUAGAUGAGUUAUUUUAGACGCCUUCCGAACUGACAUCAACUCAGUGCACCAUAUAUAUCAAGGAAAAGAUAAACGCAGGCAAUUAACUCGACGUAGAAACUAGAAACGCACGUAAAAUAAUCAUCCACUGCAUGUGCUCCGGGAAAUCAUCGCAAUCUAAUUGGCGGUGAGAGGCCCACCAUAUCAGCAGCCCAUAUUAAACUCCCAAAAAUCUGAUGCGCGUCCAGGCUCAUUAUCGUCAGCCCAUGCUAAACUCCCACGGCCCAUCGCACGAGAGAGUUCCGUGACGGCCGAGAUAGCCCGCGCACACUCGCGCAGCUUCUGGAACCUUCUACAGUCGUCUUCUCUUUCCAAUUCCACAACUCCCAUCCCUCUCCAGACGCUUCUCCCCUCCCCCUUUUCUCUCCCUCCUCCCGCCGCCCCGUGCCCCCAAACAACACAACAAACGCGAGCACGAGCACAAUCGAUCGAAAGCGGCAGAGCUCGAACAAGGAAAGAAGGCAGGGGAGGAGAAAGAAACAACCAUGGGGAUGGACUACUACAAGAUCCUGGGAGUGGAGAAGGCGGCCGGCGACGACGACCUCAAGAAGGCCUACCGCAAGCUGGCCAUGAAGUGGCACCCGGACAAGAACCCCAACAACAAGAAGGAGGCCGAGAACAAGUUCAAGCAGAUCUCCGAGGCCUACGAGGUACGUGACCAAACAGCCAAUUUUGACUAAUCAAUCACCCCAGACGAGAGAUCAGAUUAAUUCGAUUCAUCUCGUCUCGUUGUCCGCAAUGUCGCCUGACGCGUUUCUCGACCGGUGUUUGUGAUUGGAGCAGGUGCUGAGCGACCCGCAGAAGCGCGCGGUGUACGACCAGUACGGCGAGGAAGGGCUCAAGGGGCAGGUGCCGCCGCCGGGCGCGGGCGGGGCCGGGCCCGGAGGCGCCACGUUCUUCUCCACCGGCGGCGACGGGCCGACCACCUUCCGGUUCAACCCGCGCAACGCCGAGGACAUCUUCGCCGAGUUCUUCGGCUCGUCCAGCCCGUUCGGCGGCAUGGGAGGAGGGCAUCCCGGCAUGCGGACGGGCGGCAUGAGGUUCUCGUCGUCCAUGUUCGGGGGCGACGAUGUCUUCAGCUCGGCGUUCGGCGGCGGCGCUGACGGGCACCCGGGGAUGAUGGGGAUGCACGCCGGCGGCGGGAGGGCGAUGAAGACGGCGCCGAUCGAGAGGAAGCUUCCGUGCACGCUGGAGGAGCUCUACAAGGGGACUACCAAGAAGAUGAAGAUCUCCAGGGAGAUUGCUGACGCCAGUGGGUGAGUAGUAUCUCCUUCCCUCUCUGCUUCACGUCUCUGUCGUACUGGUCAUUUGGUAUUGCUGAUUAAGAAGACUCCAGGCGCCCGUAGAUCCUGCUUGCAUAUUGUAGAUCGUCUCUAGUUGCUACGGAGUAUAAAUUUAAACCUGAAUGUGCAAUUAUCUUCUUGGGUUGUUUUAGUACGAAAAGGAAAUUAGUGCUCAGAAGGAUACUUUUCCAGAGAUUGCCGUAGUUCGUUGAAAUUAAACCUGAAUGUGCAAUUUACCACUUAUCUCUGUCUGAUUUGUUUAGUACUAGAAUUUUGUAGUGUCAGGAGGAUACAUGCAUCAUGCAUCGGUUGCAGCCAAACAAACAGAAAAACAAAUUAGCAGGUGGCCCCUAAAAUAUGUUUGGUUCACUGCCACAAUGGAUAGACUAGCAGAGCUACAUGUUUAGCAGUCAAAUGAUCUUUUUUUUGGUUUCAUCUAGCAACCCAGCCAUGUGCGAUUUGUUUGGACUGUUCUUGGGAUUGUCCAUCUCUAAAUUUAUCAUUCUCAAACAUUCUGAAUUUAGUGUUGGAUGCAUGAUGUGUUAAAAAGAAGAACAAUGAUUUUAUUUUGUGUGCUAAACAAAAUACUAAAUGCCACUCAUGGUGACCGUGCAGGAAA